UGGUGGAGUGAUUUGUCUGGUUAAUUCCGUUAACGAACGAGACCUCGGCCUACUAAAUAGUCUGGCCUUCUCUUCGGGGAAAGCUAGGACUUCUUAGAGGGACUAUCGGUGUGUAGCCGAUGGAAGUUCGAGGCAAUAACA
This 141-nucleotide ribosomal RNA is filed under the name uncultured eukaryote. RNAcentral describes it as "partial 18S ribosomal RNA". It matches the Rfam family "Eukaryotic small subunit ribosomal RNA", at positions 1299 to 1458 of the family's 1831-position model. The record is from RNAcentral.